GGGCCCAUAGCUCAGCGGUAGAGCGGUCGGCUCAUAACCGAUUGGUCCCAGGUUCGAAUCCUGGUGGGCCCACCA
This 75-nucleotide transfer RNA is filed under the name Bacillota bacterium. Its description in RNAcentral is "Firmicutes bacterium (anaerobic digester metagenome) tRNA-Ile". It matches the Rfam family "tRNA". Rfam says of the family: Transfer RNA (tRNA) molecules are approximately 80 nucleotides in length. Their secondary structure includes four short double-helical elements and three loops (D, anti-codon, and T loops). Lineage: Bacteria; Bacillati; Bacillota. The record is from RNAcentral.